UACCUAGCGGCCUUGUCGUGCUUGAUUUUGGUGGCCAUUUCCUUCCUCCGGCCGCCUUUCUUUGGUGGGGAGACACUCUGCUGAGCACUGACCGGUUCCUCCUCGGGCGGGCUCUCCUCCAAGUUGAUUCCUCCCAUAUCAGGAUGAUAAUCGGAGGAGAGAUCGGGGCACCAAUUUGGAUCGUAGAAAGGGUUGUGUGGAUCCAUGACGGAGAAAAUUGUAGGAGAAGAAGAGGUGUGAAGAGAAGAAAAUUGGAGAAGAAGAGGUGUGAAGAGAAGAAGGAAGAAGGUGGGGUGUUUUAAAGAAGAGAAGA
Molecule: long non-coding RNA, 313 nt
Filed under: Salvia miltiorrhiza (redroot sage)
Lineage: Eukaryota; Viridiplantae; Streptophyta; Magnoliopsida; Lamiales; Lamiaceae
Description: long non-coding RNA (SMIL_LNC011005)
Source: RNAcentral